This 25-nucleotide non-coding RNA is filed under the name Mus musculus (house mouse). Lineage: Eukaryota; Metazoa; Chordata; Mammalia; Rodentia; Muridae. The record is from RNAcentral.
UGCAUUAUCAGAAACUAAGAGGGCA